This 2609-nucleotide ribosomal RNA is filed under the name Escherichia coli. RNAcentral describes it as "partial 23S ribosomal RNA". It matches the Rfam family "Bacterial large subunit ribosomal RNA". Lineage: Bacteria; Pseudomonadati; Pseudomonadota; Gammaproteobacteria; Enterobacterales; Enterobacteriaceae. The record is from RNAcentral.
CAUAGGUUAAUGAGGCGAACCGGGGGAACUGAAACAUCUAAGUACCCCGAGGAAAAGAAAUCAACCGAGAUUCCCCCAGUAGCGGCGAGCGAACGGGGAGCAGCCCAGAGCCUGAAUCAGUAUGUGUGUUAGUGGAAGCGUCUGGAAAGGCGCGCGAUACAGGGUGACAGCCCCGUACACAAAAAUGCACAUGCUGUGAGCUCGAUGAGUAGGGCGGGACACGUGGUAUCCUGUCUGAAUAUGGGGGGACCAUCCUCCAAGGCUAAAUACUCCUGACUGACCGAUAGUGAACCAGUACCGUGAGGGAAAGGCGAAAAGAACCCCGGCGAGGGGAGUGAAAAAGAACCUGAAACCGUGUACGUACAAGCAGUGGGAGCACGCUUAGGCGUGUGACUGCGUACCUUUUGUAUAAUGGGUCAGCGACUUAUAUUCUGUAGCAAGGUUAACCGAAUAGGGGAGCCGAAGGGAAACCGAGUCUUAACUGGGCGUUAAGUUGCAGGGUAUAGACCCGAAACCCGGUGAUCUAGCCAUGGGCAGGUUGAAGGUUGGGUAACACUAACUGGAGGACCGAACCGACUAAUGUUGAAAAAUUAGCGGAUGACUUGUGGCUGGGGGUGAAAGGCCAAUCAAACCGGGAGAUAGCUGGUUCUCCCCGAAAGCUAUUUAGGUAGCGCCUCGUGAAUUCAUCUCCGGGGGUAGAGCACUGUUUCGGCAAGGGGGUCAUCCCGACUUACCAACCCGAUGCAAACUGCGAAUACCGGAGAAUGUUAUCACGGGAGACACACGGCGGGUGCUAACGUCCGUCGUGAAGAGGGAAACAACCCAGACCGCCAGCUAAGGUCCCAAAGUCAUGGUUAAGUGGGAAACGAUGUGGGAAGGCCCAGACAGCCAGGAUGUUGGCUUAGAAGCAGCCAUCAUUUAAAGAAAGCGUAAUAGCUCACUGGUCGAGUCGGCCUGCGCGGAAGAUGUAACGGGGCUAAACCAUGCACCGAAGCUGCGGCAGCGACGCUGAUGCGUUGUUGGGUAGGGGAGCGUUCUGUAAGCCUGUGAAGGUGUGCUGUGAGGCAUGCUGGAGGUAUCAGAAGUGCGAAUGCUGACAUAAGUAACGAUAAAGCGGGUGAAAAGCCCGCUCGCCGGAAGACCAAGGGUUCCUGUCCAACGUUAAUCGGGGCAGGGUGAGUCGACCCCUAAGGCGAGGCCGAAAGGCGUAGUCGAUGGGAAACAGGUUAAUAUUCCUGUACUUGGUGUUACUGCGAAGGGGGGACGGAGAAGGCUAUGUUGGCCGGGCGACGGUUGUCCCGGUUUAAGCGUGUAGGCUGGUUUUCCAGGCAAAUCCGGAAAACUAAGGCUGAGGCGUGAUGACGAGGCACUACGGUGCUGAAGCAACAAAUGCCCUGCUUCCAGGAAAAGCCUCUAAGCAUCAGGUAACAUCAAAUCGUACCCCAAACCGACACAGGUGGUCAGGUAGAGAAUACCAAGGCGCUUGAGAGAACUCGGGUGAAGGAACUAGGCAAAAUGGUGCCGUAACUUCGGGAGAAGGCACGCUGAUAUGUAGGUGAAGUCCCUCGCGGAUGGAGCUGAAAUCAGUCGAAGAUACCAGCUGGCUGCAACUGUUUAUUAAAAACACAGCACUGUGCAAACACGAAAGUGGACGUAUACGGUGUGACGCCUGCCCGGUGCCGGAAGGUUAAUUGAUGGGGUCAGCGCAAGCGAAGCUCUUGAUCGAAGCCCCGGUAAACGGCGGCCGUAACUAUAACGGUCCUAAGGUAGCGAAAUUCCUUGUCGGGUAAGUUCCGACCUGCACGAAUGGCGUAAUGAUGGCCAGGCUGUCUCCACCCGAGACUCAGUGAAAUUGAACUCGCUGUGAAGAUGCAGUGUACCCGCGGCAAGACGGAAAGACCCCGUGAACCUUUACUAUAGCUUGACACUGAACAUUGAGCCUUGAUGUGUAGGAUAGGUGGGAGGCUUUGAAGUGUGGACGCCAGUCUGCAUGGAGCCGACCUUGAAAUACCACCCUUUAAUGUUUGAUGUUCUAACGUUGACCCGUAAUCCGGGUUGCGGACAGUGUCUGGUGGGUAGUUUGACUGGGGCGGUCUCCUCCUAAAGAGUAACGGAGGAGCACGAAGGUUGGCUAAUCCUGGUCGGACAUCAGGAGGUUAGUGCAAUGGCAUAAGCCAGCUUGACUGCGAGCGUGACGGCGCGAGCAGGUGCGAAAGCAGGUCAUAGUGAUCCGGUGGUUCUGAAUGGAAGGGCCAUCGCUCAACGGAUAAAAGGUACUCCGGGGAUAACAGGCUGAUACCGCCCAAGAGUUCAUAUCGACGGCGGUGUUUGGCACCUCGAUGUCGGCUCAUCACAUCCUGGGGCUGAAGUAGGUCCCAAGGGUAUGGCUGUUCGCCAUUUAAAGUGGUACGCGAGCUGGGUUUAGAACGUCGUGAGACAGUUCGGUCCCUAUCUGCCGUGGGCGCUGGAGAACUGAGGGGGGCUGCUCCUAGUACGAGAGGACCGGAGUGGACGCAUCACUGGUGUUCGGGUUGUCAUGCCAAUGGCACUGCCCGGUAGCUAAAUGCGGAAGAGAUAAGUGCUGAAAGCAUCUAAGCACGAAACUUGCC